UACGGAGGGUGCAAGCAUUAAUCGGAUUUAUUGGGCGUAAAGGGCGCGUAGGCGGGGAUAUAAGUCAGAUGUGAAAUCCCGGAGCUCAACUCCGGAACUGCAUUUGAAACUAUCUCUCUUGAGGGUAGGCGGAGAAAAUGGAAUUCCACAAGUAGCGGUGAAAUGCGUAGAUAUGUGGAAGAACACCAGUGGCGAAGGCGGUUUUCUAGCUUACUCCUGACGCUGAGGCGCGAAAGCAAGGGGAU
RNAcentral lists this ribosomal RNA (245 nucleotides) under uncultured Parachlamydia sp. RNAcentral describes it as "partial 16S ribosomal RNA". It matches the Rfam family "Bacterial small subunit ribosomal RNA", at positions 524 to 768 of the family's 1533-position model. Lineage: Bacteria; Pseudomonadati; Chlamydiota; Chlamydiia; Parachlamydiales; Parachlamydiaceae. The record is from RNAcentral.